This 58-nucleotide ribosomal RNA is filed under the name Trichoderma virens. RNAcentral's name for it is "partial 28S ribosomal RNA". It matches the Rfam family "Eukaryotic large subunit ribosomal RNA", at positions 1 to 58 of the family's 3401-position model. The record is from RNAcentral. Lineage: Eukaryota; Fungi; Ascomycota; Sordariomycetes; Hypocreales; Hypocreaceae.
UGACCUCGGAUCAGGUAGGAAUACCCGCUGAACUUAAGCAUAUCAAUAAGCGGAAGAA